UUUACUUGUGCUUUCGAGAAAAACCGAAUACCGCCAGUGGACCCAAUACGAACAUGCCGCAAUACUACAGAAAUAUAAUCAGUUUAAUCACAUUACCUUUUUCUGAGACAUAUACUCUCAUCAUAUCACUUCUACUUAGCAAUAUCAUUUUCCCAAAUCAUGCGAAGGUCACUUAUCUAAUCACUUAGGAGGAAUCACUACACAUCCCAUGCUCUGCAUGACAUACACAUGUAUUGUUCUAUUCUUACAAUACAAACUCGACGGAUGAGACAUGUACACAUUCAUAACUACUACCGAAAUAACAAUCCGUUAGUUCUAUAAUCUUGGCAAGAACUAUGACCUCAUUCUGAGCAAAACAAUGCUCUUAGCUCUUUAAUUUACUUCACAUACUAAGAUUGCACUGAUCUCAAAUUCAAUGAUCUCGUUUCACCCAUUACUAAUUUCUCAAGCAAUUGCCAUAAUCGAAAGUCACAUCUGAUACCUUAAUAUGCCAAUAGGCUACCAAUUCGAACGCGGUACAAAAGGAAAACAAACUCUGGAAGGAAUUACUAAUCCCAUACACUACUACAGCUUUCCUUAGAAAAAAGGAAGCAAGGCAUACAAAAUAGUAUAUAGAAAACUAUUUUUAACAUCACACUGUUGCGGCGUGCAACCCGAUCCAGAUUACAUACUCGUGGCAGCGUGCCACCAGAUCCACACAUAUAUCUCACAUAAGGAGAUGCACAUUGAGCCAAUUUUGCUCAUUACAACAAAAUACCGAGUAUCGGUCAUAAGCAUGCUAAGUGUAUAAUAAUAUCUCUGAGGGACAUAUAGCGUAAUAAGCUACACAAUUCAAGCAUAACUGAGGUUCGAUGUACAAAUAUGAAUUUCAAGAGCCACUACGCUCAUAUAACGUCAUUCCUAUAGGGAUUCUUAACACAUAGCAAUUUCUCAAGUCGUCUCACAACUUACAUGGCGCAAUGUAACACUAUGAAAAAUAUCUGACAGUGAGACAUCAACGUUACUACUCCUCCAUAAGGACCACAUUACUAAAAUGCACACAUCUGGCCUUGUAUAGAGCCAUUAUUCACAUUAAAUCUAUCUAUCAGCUUCAAGCCGGUUCUGAUCAAACUGAGCUCGUCUGAUAACCUUUCUAAGGUCCAUAAUAAUUCCCAUUUUCCUCAUAACACACAAGCAAAACCAUCAUAAUCGAAGUAAUCCUCCCCAGUUCACAACACAAUAUGCGAAGUGCCAUCUAGUCAUGAAUCUUCAAUUUAACGAUACCAUCACAAACUUCAUACUUGGUUUACAUCAUUAAUCAAUCAAGCUAUCACAUGCCACAUUUAUAUAAUUUUCUCGUGGGACACACUCCCGCAACCUACCACACCAAUAUCUGAAGCGUACCUCCAAACCACCGGUCACCCUAAUGCUGAAGAGUGAUCAAGAAUCAUUAACCAGGAUGCAAAACCUUUUUACAAAACAUCGAUCUUAGGUGACGUUUAAAACAAUACCAAUUUACCAUAAAUAUUUAAACUCAUCUCCUGCUCAUCCGAGAGCAUGACAUCUUAUGAAAACUUUUCCUCCACUCAUGCUGUUCUCGGCCCAAUUUGCACAAUCAGAACUGAUAACAUGCAUCAAACUCGAUCCAAUAUAGCAUAUAAUCGUGCAAUCAACUUGUUUAAUAGCAAACUCCCCAACUUGGCUCAAAGACAUAGAUCAAAGCGCACUCAAUAAAUCAUAACGCAUGCCUUCUAUUGUUGCUGUAAUACCAUAGUGAGACUAAACUCACUCCUUAG
RNAcentral lists this long non-coding RNA (1775 nucleotides) under Nicotiana benthamiana. RNAcentral describes it as "long non-coding RNA (NBEN_LNC017218)". The record is from RNAcentral. Lineage: Eukaryota; Viridiplantae; Streptophyta; Magnoliopsida; Solanales; Solanaceae.